Long non-coding RNA from Harpia harpyja (harpy eagle), 1927 nucleotides. RefSeq lists it as uncharacterized. The transcript has 3 exons. NCBI's taxonomy places the organism in Eukaryota, Metazoa, Chordata, Aves, Accipitriformes, Accipitridae. The record is from RefSeq and is a predicted model, not a curated record.
AGUGACCCCAUUAUCGGUCUGCUGUCGCUGCGAGCUGGGGCCAGUGCAGGAGCCUGGCACCAGCCGUGGGCUGUAGCAAACUUGUGGCCCCGGGGAUGUGGGGGACAAAAGCCCGGUGACCAGCUGCCAGCAUCCAGGCAGUGGGACAGAGCGGAGAGAGGGGCUGUUAGAGAUGGGGCUGGGGGAGCAGGCAUGGGGCUGAGCAUCCUGCUCUGGCAUCCUGCCCCGCAUCUCCUGACCCAGCCCAUGGCAAAGCCAGGCAGCAGGACAGGCAGGAGAGCCCAGGGGCAAGUCUAGCCCCUGACCUGGGGACAGGCGGGGUGGGAUGUGGCUGCCAGAAGCUGGGAGGCUGCAAAACAAGCAUCUCUGGGUGAAAGCUCUGUGUGGUGUUGCAUGGUUGUAGUGAGAGGUCAGUGCCGGGCCACCGUACGCACACCCCCAGCACGGACACAUCAGGCAGCCAGAUCUACCACCCAGAGACAGCCCGAGCUGCCGGGAUUUGCUCCCUUUUUCCAGCUCACUUAGCAGGUAAGCGACACAGCUUAGCCCCCAUUGGGCUCUUAGGCCCCAUCCAUGCUCACAGAUGUAGCUGACAUGGGUCAGUGGUGGGACAGGUGGGUGCCUGUGGCUGCAAGCCUCAAGUGUCCUCCCAGGCUGAGGUGUCCCCAGGCUUUGUCCCCUGCCCUGGGAGCUUCAAGCAGCAUGAUCCCACCAGGCACAGCCCAUCCUGGGACAUGCCACCUGCGACGUGGGACCCCAGACCCCUCGGUUCCCCCAGGAGAGUCACCAGCACCCGAGCUCCCCGAGCUCAGCUGACAGUGCCCGUCCCGCACAGCCUGGCCAAAUCCCUCAACCUGGAUCAGAGUCUGUAGCUUCAAUCUGCCUCUGGUUUCACGUGUGAGCGAACCAAGUUAAUAAAUCCGGAGGGAACCACAAACUGAGUGAAUAACUUUGCUAAGCACAUAUGUCCUGCAGGCAGAAAUAGUGGGAAUUGCUCCCGGAGCCGUCCAUCCAUCCGUCCCUGCUCAGCCCAAUAUUCAAGCAAUUUACAGCAAAGCCAGUGCGAAGCCAGGUCAUUUCUGAUUAUUGUUUGAGAGGUGCCGGCUUUCCCUGCUAAUUAUAGGCUUGCCUCCAGCUAAUAGGAUUUAUAGAAACAAAAGCAUUACCAGCACAAACAUUGUGCAGGGCAGAACCGGCGCAAGCUGGGAAUUUUCCAUCCUGAAAUGCCAAGGGCUGGGUGCUUGAAAUGCCUGUUUUAUCCAGUGCGAGAUGCAAAGGUCUUCUGGGGUGGGGGAGAUACAUAGAGCCCGCAGAGCACAGAGGAACUGGCCGUCCUCCCCAGCCCAUCCCCAGAGCCGACCCCGGGCCCUGCACAGCCAUGGGGGUACCAGCACUGCUCUUACGCCUGGGAAGCAUCCCACCUGCAGAGGUGAAGGAAACUCGCCCCAGGUCACAGAGACGCAGCAAUUCCUGCUAAGCUGUCCUGCACGAUGGUGAUAAACUCCCAGCCUGUCCCUGCGGGAAGGUCUGCAGACAUUUCCCGGGCACCGAGCAGCAAGCUCUACUCGAACCACUUUUUCUGAAGGCACCAGCUCUUCCGAGCAGCUGGCGGGGGUGGUACAGGGACACGUGUGCCCCCGGGAAGCAGCAAAAGAAGCAAAUAUUGGCAGGAUGGGCCAAGGAGGAGCUGCACAGCAGAGCAGAGGGGAGCCCAGAGCUCUCCUGCCUCCGAGCGAGGAGCCGCCCAGGCCGGCGGGCUGAGCCUGUCUGCAAGCGCUGGGGCUGCCGAGCAAAGCUGCUGCUCCUCCGCGCCAACAAACCGGCGCCGUUCUCUCCCUCCCGCCGGGCCGGGAGUCGCCGGGCCGGGCCCUGCGCGGCGGCGGGAGGCGGCAGCCCACCAGGUGGCACCAGAGCCCCGCCGCAGCCC